UACGUAGGGUGCAAGCGUUAAUCGGAAUUACUGGGCGUAAAGCGCGCGUAGGCGGUUUGUUAAGUCGGAUGUGAAAGCCCCGGGCUCAACCUGGGAACUGCAUACGAUACUGGCAAGCUAGAGUGCAAUAGAGGGGGGGGUAGAAUUCCAGGUGUAGCGGUGAAAUGCGUAGAUAUCUGGAGGAAUACCGAUGGCGAAGGCAAUCCCCUGGGCCUGUACUGACGCUCAUGCACGAAAGCGUGGGGAGCAAACAGG
Molecule: ribosomal RNA, 255 nt
Filed under: uncultured Pseudomonadota bacterium
Lineage: Bacteria; Pseudomonadati; Pseudomonadota
Description: uncultured proteobacterium partial 16S ribosomal RNA
Rfam family: Bacterial small subunit ribosomal RNA
Source: RNAcentral